RNAcentral lists this ribosomal RNA (197 nucleotides) under Escherichia coli. RNAcentral's name for it is "partial 16S ribosomal RNA". It matches the Rfam family "Bacterial small subunit ribosomal RNA", at positions 1 to 203 of the family's 1533-position model. Lineage: Bacteria; Pseudomonadati; Pseudomonadota; Gammaproteobacteria; Enterobacterales; Enterobacteriaceae. The record is from RNAcentral.
UUAAAUUGAAGAGUUUGAUCAUGGCUCAGAUUGAACGCUGGCGGCAGGCCUAACACAUGCAAGUCGAACGGUAACAGGAAGCAGCUUGCUGCUUUGCUGACGAGUGGCGGACGGGUGAGUAAUGUCUGGGAAACUGCCCGAUGGAGGGGGAUAACUACUGGAAACGGUAGCUAAUACCGCAUAACGUCGCAAGACCA